RNAcentral lists this ribosomal RNA (508 nucleotides) under uncultured bacterium. RNAcentral describes it as "partial 16S ribosomal RNA". It matches the Rfam family "Bacterial small subunit ribosomal RNA", at positions 28 to 507 of the family's 1533-position model. The record is from RNAcentral.
GACGAACGCUGGCGGCGUGCCUAAUACAUGCAAGUCGAACGCUUCUUUCCUCCCGAGUGCUUGCACUCAAUUGGAAAGAGGAGUGGCGGACGGGUGAGUAACACGUGGGUAACCUACCCAUCAGAGGGGGAUAACACUUGGAAACAGGUGCUAAUACCGCAUAACAGUUUAUGCCGCAUGGCAUAAGAGUGAAAGGCGCUUUCGGGUGUCGCUGAUGGAUGGACCCGCGGUGCAUUAGCUAGUUGGUGAGGUAACGGCUCACCAAGGCCACGAUGCAUAGCCGACCUGAGAGGGUGAUCGGCCACACUGGGACUGAGACACGGCCCAGACUCCUUCGGGAGGCAGCAGUAGGGAAUCUUCGGCAAUGGACGAAAGUCUGACCGAGCAACGCCGCGUGAGUGAAGAAGGUUUUCGGAUCGUAAAACUCUGUUGUUAGAGAAGAACAAGGACGUUAGUAACUGAACGUCCCCUGACGGUAUCUAACCAGAAAGCCACGGCUAACUACGUG